CCUACGGGGGGCUGCAGUGGGGAAUAUUGGACAAUGGGGGCAACCCUGAUCCAGCCAUGCCGCGGGUGUGAAGAAGGCCCUCGGGUUGUAAAGCACUUUCAGUGAGGAAGAACGCCUGGUGGUUAAUACCCAUCAGGAAAGACAUCACUCACAGAAGAAGCACCGGCUAACUCCGUGCCAGCAGCCGCGGUAAUACGGAGGGUGCGAGCGUUAAGCGGAAUUACUGGGCGUAAAGCGCGCGUAGGUGGCUUGAUAAGCCGGUUGUGAAAGCCCCGGGCUCAACCUGGGAACGGCAUCCGGAACUGUCAAGCUAGAGUGCAGGAGAGGAAGGUAGAAUUCCCGGUGUAGCGGUGAAAUGCGUAGAGAUCGGGAGGAAUACCAGUGGCGAAGGCGGCCUUCUGGACUGACACUGACACUGAGGUGCGAAAGCGUGGGUAGCAAACAGGAUUAGAUACCCGAGUAGUC
RNAcentral lists this ribosomal RNA (465 nucleotides) under Vreelandella stevensii. RNAcentral describes it as "partial 16S ribosomal RNA". It matches the Rfam family "Bacterial small subunit ribosomal RNA", at positions 338 to 795 of the family's 1533-position model. Lineage: Bacteria; Pseudomonadati; Pseudomonadota; Gammaproteobacteria; Oceanospirillales; Halomonadaceae. The record is from RNAcentral.